This 71-nucleotide transfer RNA is filed under the name Streptococcus pneumoniae. RNAcentral's name for it is "tRNA-Glu". It matches the Rfam family "tRNA". From Rfam's summary of the family: Transfer RNA (tRNA) molecules are approximately 80 nucleotides in length. Lineage: Bacteria; Bacillati; Bacillota; Bacilli; Lactobacillales; Streptococcaceae. The record is from RNAcentral.
GUCCGUUGGUCAAGGGGUUAAGACACCGCCUUUUCACGGCGGUAACACGGGUUCGAAUCCCGUACGGACAG